This 397-nucleotide ribosomal RNA is filed under the name uncultured bacterium. RNAcentral's name for it is "partial 16S ribosomal RNA". It matches the Rfam family "Bacterial small subunit ribosomal RNA", at positions 523 to 918 of the family's 1533-position model. The record is from RNAcentral.
AUACGUAGGUGGCAAGCGUUGUCCGGAAUUAUUGGGCGUAAAGCGCGCGCAGGCGGUCCUUUAAGUCUGAUGUGAAAGCCCACGGCUCAACCGUGGAGGGUCAUUGGAAACUGGGGGACUUGAGUGCAGAAGAGGAAAGUGGAAUUCCAAGUGUAGCGGUGAAAUGCGUAGAGAUUUGGAGGAACACCAGUGGCGAAGGCGACUGUCUGGUCUGUAACUGACACUGAGGCGCGAAAGCGUGGGGAGCAAACAGGAUUAGAUUCCCUGGUAGUCCACGCCGUAAACGAUGAGUUCUAAGUGUUGGGGGGUUUCCGCCCCUCAGUGCUGCAGCUAACGCAUUAAGCACUCCGCCUGGGGAGUACGGUCGCAAGACUGAAACUCAAAGGAAUUGACGGGG